AUGGCCGCAGUAUACUAACUGUGCAAAGGUAGCAUAAUCACUAGUCUUUUAAUUGAAGGCUGGUAUGAAUGGUUGGACGAGAUACUAACUGUUUCAUAAAAAUUUAUAAUAGAAUUUUAUUUUUUAGUCAAAAAGCUAAAAUAUAUUUAAAAGACGAGAAGACCCUAUAAAUCUUUAUAUUUAAAUUAUUAUAAUUUUGAAGAUUUAUUUUGUUGUAAUAAUUAAUAAUAUUUUAUUGGGGUGAUAUUAAAAUUUAAUAAACUUUUAAUUUUAAAAUUCAUUAAUUUAUGAAUAAUUGAUCCAUUAAUAGUGAUUAAAAGAAUAAGUUACU
RNAcentral lists this ribosomal RNA (331 nucleotides) under Wohlfahrtia magnifica. RNAcentral's name for it is "partial large subunit ribosomal RNA". The record is from RNAcentral. Lineage: Eukaryota; Metazoa; Arthropoda; Insecta; Diptera; Sarcophagidae.